GCGCCCGUAGCUCAGCGGAUCAGAGCAUCGGUCUUCGGAACCGGGGGUCGUGGGUUCGAAUCCCACCGGGCGCACCA
Molecule: transfer RNA, 77 nt
Filed under: Chloroflexota bacterium
Lineage: Bacteria; Bacillati; Chloroflexota
Description: Chloroflexi bacterium (groundwater metagenome) tRNA-Arg
Rfam family: tRNA
About the family: Transfer RNA (tRNA) molecules are approximately 80 nucleotides in length. Their secondary structure includes four short double-helical elements and three loops (D, anti-codon, and T loops).
Source: RNAcentral